Molecule: ribosomal RNA, 271 nt
Filed under: uncultured prokaryote
Description: partial 16S ribosomal RNA
Rfam family: Bacterial small subunit ribosomal RNA
Source: RNAcentral
UACGGAGGAUCCGAGCGUUAUCCGGAUUUAUUGGGUUUAAAGGGUACGCAGGCGGGAGAUUAAGUCGGCGGUGAAAUUUUGCAGCUCAACUGUAAAAGUGCCUUCGAAACUGGUUUCCUUGAGUGUAGAUGAAGUAGGCGGAAUUUGUGGUGUAGCGGUGAAAUGCAUAGAUAUCACGAGGAACUCCGAUUGCGAAGGCAGCUUACUAAGCUACUACUGACGCUCAGGCACGAAGGCGUGGGGAUCAAACAGGAUUAGAUACCCCUGUAGU